This 26-nucleotide ribosomal RNA is filed under the name Ferula dubjanskyi. RNAcentral's name for it is "partial 5.8S ribosomal RNA". Lineage: Eukaryota; Viridiplantae; Streptophyta; Magnoliopsida; Apiales; Apiaceae. The record is from RNAcentral.
UGAGGGACGUCUGCCUGGGUGUCACG